CUUGCAGAAGAGUAUUUUUGCGAUCUAAAUAAGGCACACAAUUUUUCAAAAGAAGUAUAAAAAAGAAAACAUAUAAGGCGCACAAAUCUGGUGAAAAAAACAAGAAGAUUAAAAAUGCCAACUAACAGGAUUUUAUGUUUUACUUGAGGUGUGUGUAUAUAUGCAUGUAUUGUGUAUAUAUAUAUAUGUUUAUGUGUAUAUACACAUACGAACAUAUGUGAUAUAUGUACCUAUACAGAGGUAUAUAAAUGCAGUCUCUAUAGCACAUAUAUCUACUGUAACCCUGAAAAAAGAUAGAAAGAGACUCAAAAGGUCAUCGGUCCUCUGUCAUAGAGGAAUUACUUAUGGUAAAAGAUAACUGGCUUCCCCAAUCUAAUUUACAGUUGAUACUGGAGAUAGGGCUUGGGGUUUGUUGUUAAGGUAUGGUCAUGUUAGUUUGCUAAUUAUACGAAUUUACUUUCCACUUUCCUGAAUAUACUGAGAAGGUAUGCCAUCUUACAUGGCAAGGACCAAGUCUUAUUGGUGGAUCUCAGUGGCUAAGUUGGGUAUGGCCUAUCUACUAGAAGAGAGUUGUGAAUUGGAGAUCACUAUGGUUAGCAGUUGUGAUGAAUUACUAUCUGUUCUGGAUCAAAACAGGAGAGUGGUCCAACCAAGUAGCCAUUGGGUCUAGUGACUGCAUCACUGUAGCAGCAAUAUGAUGAAUGUCUUAAAAGGGUAGAAUACUUUACAUUUUACAAACUCCGCUCAAUAUUUGAAGGCUCACAAUAGCAAUAUUAAAAGAACUUAAUAUGGAUUAGUGACACUAGAAGGAUGGUGGUAGCAGAUGGCAGUAUGAUGGGCUAAGGGGACAUGGUUGACCAGGCAUCCCAGUUAAGGACUGACUCAAAAGCAUGAAUGACUUUGAUCAGUUUGAUUAUAAGUAAGACCCAGGGUUUCUAGACAACUGUGUCUUUUAUUGUCCAGAUGAAAAUUAUAGAUUCCAAUUAUAGAUUCCACUGGGUACUUUGAUGAUGACGUUUAUAACCAGUGGUACAAAAGUAUUCUAGUUCAUUCAUUUAUCCAUCAACUCAUUCAUUCACUUAUACAUUAACUAAUUUAUCUACCUUUGUACCUCAUAUGGUGCUAAGACACUUGAUGGCCUAAAAAUAUUGUUCCUGUAUUUUAGGAGUUUAUCAUUUAGUCUACGGCCAUACCACCCUGAAUGUGCCCGAUCUCGUCUGAUCUCAGAAGCAAAGCAGGGUCAGGCCUGGUUAGUACUUGGAUGGGAGGAGUUUAUCAUUUAAUAAGAGAUUAGAAGUAUAAUCUAAUAAUUUCAAUGGAAUGAGAUAAAUGCUAAAAUAAUAUACAUGUAUAUUAUAUGAUACAACACAUAUAAUACAUGUAUACAUGUAUAUUAUCUGUAUAUAUUAUAUAUACAUGCACACAUACACAAGGUCAUUGGUGUACUAACUGUGGGUAUUCUAACUAUACCUGAACAUAAAGACCUGGAGAUAAAACUGGAGAUGUGUUAGCAUGAGGGAGUUCUAUAGGCCUUUGUAAGGAUUUUGGCUCUUAACCUGAAUCAAAUAGGCAGCCGCAAGAUUUCAAGUAAAGUUAAAAUAACCACUUGAUGGGAAAUUUCUCCAAGAGUUUAAAAUCACAAAUUAUGGGCUGUAAACCACUGGCCUAAACUAAUGAUAUCCUACCAGGAUAAACCAAGACAUUUUCUCCAUGUAUAUUCUCUUUCUCUCAGGUACCACCGACAUUUUUAGGUUCUGGGUUCUGAGGUGAUGUUUUUGCCUGUUAUAAUGCUCUACAGGAUGGGAAUUGACAUGUUUAUAAUUUUGUGAGUGUGGGAACAGCACUGUAGAAAUCUCAUUUCCGGCUGCUGCUGGAAAGAAGGCAUGAACCUGUAGUUUGUAGCCAUUUGGCCAGAUUUAGGCUAUAUCCUUCAAUACAGAUUACUAGGAAUAAAGGUGAUACUUUGAUCUCUGAUUGACUGACUCCAGUAUCUAUCGUUCAGUUGGUUCUAAACUAGAAGAGAGGGUUAUUGUAUUUAACACUCAUAUAUCCAGUAAAUGCUCCAUUUGUUUAUGUGUCAAGGCCCUGGUGCUGAGGCCAAAGACUAACAAACAGAGGGAGAGAGGAGAGAGGAUGAGGCGCUGGGAGAAAUAGUAGUAUUUUUAAAAAACAAAAUUUUAAUAAAUAAUUAUAUUCAAGAUUACUUUAAGAAAAUAUGAAUGCACUCCUUCUGCUUCUCAGUCUCCCCUCUCUCAGACUCCAGAAAAUUAGGGUAACAGUCAGUUAAACAUUUCAAAGUGCUCUCUUAUGAGUGUAAAAUGAAAUACAGUCAACUAAAAUGACAUUGUUAAACAAAAUAAGUAUAUGAGGCGAAUUGGUGUUGGGUAAAUUGGUUUUCAGUAAAAUGGCCAUUCAGGUGGACUGAUUAUUUGGCAAACUGCCUUAUGAAAGAUUAGUCUUUGGCAGUUUAGAUUAGAGCCAAAUGAUUAAUGGAUCCUCUGAACAAGAACCACAAAAAAUGUCAUCCAGCCUCAGCUUGAACAACCAGGAAUGAGAAAUAUGUUGCAAUGCAAGACAAUUCCGAACAACUGAAAAAUUUGUUUUUACAUACUUGCAUUAUACAUGUCUCCUUAUUUUGCACUCAUAUUUCUCCACUGGUCAUAUCCAACCCUCAAGAACAACAUAUAAUUUUCAAAAUCUGUUCUUUAUAUGCAAGCUUAUAAAUAAAAAUUAGGAGCUAUUGUUUUUUACUUGAUGUUUCUUUAACCUAAACCGCCUGAGUUGGUGAGUCAUCCCAUUCUGUGGAUUGAUUUUUCCAUCCCUUCACCAUCUUGGUUGCUGUGUCAACCUGCCUCUCGAGGAAAAUCACAUACAAAAGAAAAUUACACUGCUCUGAGUACUGCUAAGAACAUGAGCAUAGCCUUCUUUAUUUUGAAACCUAUUCUUAGGAUUUUGAACAAGCAAACCUUAUGGAAUAUAAUCGAAAUGCAAGCUUGUUUAUUUAUUAAAAAAAUCUUCCAAUCUGUUUUAAAAAUGUUUCAUUUGUAGAAAUUCAUCUCUCCUCUGUAUGAAAAAUCUGCCAGGUUCCUGAAUUUUCUACUCACUCUUAGGUAAUAUAGAAUACCCUGUUCACAUUAAUUCCCCAAAUAUCAUCUUUGAUAAAAUAUCAACCCUUAGAUCCUAAUUCAAAGAUAAAACUCUGUUCUCUUCCUUCCCCAAGCUAGGGCUUGACUGUAGGCAAGCAGCCUAUCUUCUGGGGAAUGUCCUGGUGGACUUACUGUUUCUAGCUCACCUCCUUCUCCAUCAUCCCCACUAGCUGCUCUGACCCCUUUAGAUUCUAGUGACGGGACAGGUAGGUGUCAGGAGAUAAAGAGGUAAAAAGUAGGCUGUUUCACACUUGACUGGUAUUCCAUUUAGACACCUGUAGAGGUCUAUUAUUCUCUGAGUGAAUUCCUCUUGAGCAGAAUUUCAUUUAAAAUGACCUCAACCAGUCUCUCUCUCUCUCUCAAUGGGGUGCCUGUACAUGCCUGGCUCAUAUCUGAUUGCAACGAAACACUCACUCACUUUUCAUCUUGACAGAAUUCAGUACAGGUGAAUCCUAAUGAAACAGCAUUUCUCUCCUGGCUCUGCCCUCAGGCAUCUCACCUAUGGACCCUCCAGCUCCUCUGGCAUUAGCACAAUGUGCCUCCCAAUCCAGGGGACACAAGUGAAGCUCUCUGCACGUCCAACGGAAGCCCCGAUCUUUAGGCUUGAAGCUAAGGGGGAAGUACCCACUUCCUGCUGUAAAGGUGGAGAAGGGAGACUCAGCACUGAAGAAGCUCUCUCCAAAACAUUUCUUUACAAAUAUAGUCUUAGUUGCUACUCCUAUACCUCUUCAUAUCGUUCUUAUGGGGUUCAGAGCCUUUAAACAGUUCAAAGUCACUUAAUUAAAAGCUUUUGCUCAGUCAUCCAAUAGCUCACUUUGGAAUUUAACAUCUUUAACAGUUAAAACUCUCAGUUUUACCUAUUAUCUAUACUUCUUUUAAAAGCAGCCCAAGAUCAAAUUAAAUUUUGUUAGCACCCUUAUGGCCCUCCAUAUGUCCUUGACUGAAUUGCUUCACCUUUUAUUCUUGUUGUAACUAAGAGUGUUCAGAAGAAACAAUUAAAAAAUGGGAAAUAAUGCAGAUUAAGAACGUGCUAUACAUUUAUUAACUCAUAUUAAAACCUCCUUUUAAAGAGCUUGAAGGCUUACAUAUUAUAUGCAGUCUUAAAAAUCAUGGCUUUUGGUAUAGUUUUCCGGCUCUGAGGAGGUGAAAAAAAAGAAAGGGAGGGACCUAAAAACAAGGAAGGGGGUGACUGCUGUGCCUUUGCACCAAAAGAAUAGACAACCUGGGAAAGCAUCAACUCCAAUUCUGAAGGCACAAUGUCAAGGGCUUUGUUUAUAUCCCUGGGAUACCAAUUAUUUUCCAAAUAAAGCUUUACUGGUGUUUGCACACAUAAGCGUGUGUGCGCACGCAUGCACACACACCCACACACACAAUUUCCCACCUUUGUCCUGUGUAUUUACAGUCCAGGCUAUGCACAGGGCAGAACAGGGUGGUUUAAUUCUUAGGAAGUUCAUUCCAAUGGGAAAUGAAUUCUUGAAUUUAAUCCCAUAUAUAUUAUCUUUCUAAUCACAAGAAGGUAUAUUCCCAUGUCCAUAUACAAUAAAAAAUCUUGAAAUGAAAUAAAACUCAUACUCAGAAGAGAACAAAUCCCCAGGAGCCAUUUUCCACCAAUCUGUUUUUAUCUUCUGGAAUUCAUUCUCUCUCCUUUACUAAGAGAUUCCUGUGAAAGUAUGACUCAGUUCCUCCCGCAGGUCUUGACUACUAUCUCCGAGACAAAUUUCAAAACCAAUCUGACACAUUUUAAGACCACUUAUUCAGACAACAUUUUCUGACAUACUUUUCAGUAUUCUUGAAAGUCAACUGCUUUUUCAUUUUCAUCUCACUCCCCACUCCUCAAAUCCUUUUCCUUUAUUUUUAGUCCUUCAUUAUAAAAGCAAUACAUAUUCAUUAAAAAAACAAAAUGUAGACAAGCAAAAUAACAUAAUGUGCACUCAUGAUUUAGUCAGAGAUAUUCAUUAUGAAUAUUUCUGUGAAUAUUUUUAAUAUCCUUUUUAAAUGCAAGUGUUCUUAAUUUGUAUGUAGGAACCACAUUUAAAUGCUAUUAUAACCAACUACAUUAAACCAAUCUGACAGUUCUUGACGACUUGCAUUGGUGCAGAUUUCUUUACCAUAAGUAUGGCAGAGAAGAAAUGAUUGGCUUUAAAUGAAUUACAUAUAAAUAGCAAAUACAUAUGAAAAAACUUUGAAUACUCAUUUCUAACAAAUCUGAAUUUUCACCAAAUUAUUGUGUUCUCUCUCUAGCUCCUAAGUUCAGCGAGGUUUGUAUCCUUAUAUGCUUAUGUUUAUCCUUUUAUACCUAUGCACACACAUUUUUGUGUGCAUAGGUAUAAAAGGAUAAACGUGGUCAUAGAUUUGACAUUUGGCUUAAUCUUGAGAUAAAUUAUCUUAAAGCUUUUAUCACAAUUUUCUCUUCCAUUAUAUUUCCAAAAAUAUAACUGUAUCUUUGGUGAUGAUUAUUAUAUAUAUUUUACAUUGAUUAUUAUAUAUAUAUUUAUUUAAAAAAAAUAAACCUAUACAUACAUAUAAUAUUUUGGAAAUUGCUUCCUUCACUUAGCAAUAUCUCUUAGACCUAACCAAUCUUUGGAAUAGUGGAUUGCAGGCUUUGAUUUUAUUCUACAAACAAUGAAGAACUUACUUACUUGCCAAGCUGGUGUAUCACAUGAACAAACAGGUUCCUGGAUUGUUUAUGGUAAGUAGCGUCAUCAGAAAUAACACCUUAUCUGUAGAUAGAGGCAUUGUGAAAUAACUCACUGUGGCUUAAAUUCAUUCAGUGGCAAGUUGUACAACAUCAUCUCCUUCUAAGUCAGAUAUUCAAGACCUAAAAAUGGCAAAUGUUAUAAAUAAUUUUUCUGUAAGUUUUAGAAAGUAUAUUAUCAAGAAAUAGUUUCUAAAAAAGAUAUAUAUUUUUGCUUUAUAUUUUUUGGAAUGAUGUAAGUUAAAAUUUUUUUAAAGUCUCUUAAAAUUAAAAAAAUUAAUGUAUAUUAUUAAAUUAAAAUAAAAUAAAUUAUUAUUACUAUUAAUUUUUACAGAUACAAUCUCUGUCAGUUGCCCAGGUUGGAGUACAGUGAUGUAAUCAUAGCUCAUUGCAGCUUUGAACUCCUGGGCUCAAGCAAUCCUCCUAUCCCAGUCUUCUGUGUGGGUAGGACUACAGUUGCUUGCCACCAUGCCCAGCUAAUUUUUAAUAUUUUUUGUAGAGAUGAGGUCUUGCCAUUUUGCCCAGGCUGGUCUUGAAACCCUGGCCUUGAGUGCUCCUCCUGCCUGUCCUCUCAAAGUGCUGAGAUUACAGGUAUGAGCCAGUGCCAAGUUCCAAAUUACAUUAAAUUAAUCAGUAUUUAAAGAUUUCUAAACUCUAAAAUUUUUUGCAUUUUUAAAAAAAUAUUUUACUCUGGGAUACAUGCGCAGGACAUACAGGUUUGUUACAUAGGUAUACAUGUGCCAUGGUGUUUUGCUUCACCUAUCAACCUGUCAUCUAGGUUUUAAGCCCUGCAUGCAUUAGGUAUUUGUCCUAAUGCUCUCCCUCCCCUUGCUUCCCACCCCCAUAACAGGCCCCCGUGUGUGAUGAUCCCCUCCCAGUGUCCAUAUGUUCUCAUUGUUCAACUUUCACUUAUGAGUGAGAACAUGUGGUGUUUGCUAAACUCCAAAGUUUUUGAGCUUGGAUCUUGUGUGUGUGAUUUGCAAUUUUUUUGUGUGCAAAAAGGCAACGUUUCUGUGGUAAUACAUCAUGGAUGCUGUGUGUGUGUGAGUGUGUGUGUGCGUAUGUGUGUGUUUUAACAGAUAAAAAGUGAAACCUAAAGAAUUAUUUAAUAUACUUAGACUUUUGGCUUCCUCAAAAAAAAUCAGAUAAUAAAACUAUUGUAAUUUAUUGAAGCAAGAUAGCAAAAUGUUUUAUAAGUUAGCAGGUAGCAUAGAAAAAGAAUACCAAGAAAAAAGGGCAACAUGGGCCUUUUUUAAAAUAGUCACAACCGGCAUGUUACCUAAAUCAGUGGUCCCUAAACUGGGGUGAUUUUGACCCCCAAAAACAUUUAACAAUGUCUGGAAAUUUUUUUUGUUGUCACAACUGGAGAGAGUUGCUACUAGCGUCUAGUGAGUUGAGACCAGGGAUGUUGCAAAUUGUCUUAUAAUACACAGACCAGUGCCUUACAACAAAGAAUUCCCCAGCCUAAAAUGUCAACAGACAUGCCAACCAAUUUGAGAGGAAAUGCCUUUGUUUGUAUGUUAGUUUUGAAGACAUCUGUCACUGCUCAAAAUAAGCCAGCAGUCUCUCUUAAAUAUAUGACCAAAAUUCUUUCCAUCCCUGAACUUCUUUGGAAGACACCAAGUAGGUGGUUUGCACACCAAGUCUUUGUUGGAGAGAAUGUUUGAAACCUAAUCUGCUGACUCUUGAACCCAGGAACCAUAUAUAUAGACUUACUAUUUUUACAUUUAAGAUUCUUACGGGAGUAAUCUGUUAAUAUCUAUUUAUUAAAUAAAUCAUGGAUAAAUCUGAUACCUUCUGAAGCUCAGUAGUCACUCAUGGGACUUAGCAGCCAAAAAUGAAGAGAGUAUGUGCCUGAAGAGCUGAUUCUGAUCCUCCUCCUUCCUCUGAGGUGAUGAAGGUGGGGUUUUACUGUGUUGCCGAGGCUGGUCUCGAACUCCUGAGUACAAGCAAUCUUCUGGCCUCAGCCUCUCAAAGUGCUGAGAUUACAGCGAACUUCUUGAGCACUGGUAAGGAACAUUUGGAGAAGAUUCUUCUAAGAAGGCCUGAUCCACUUGAUGCCCUGACAAAAGAAGUUAAUCUAUUAUGGUAAAGAAGACGAGGAGAGAAGAACUGACAUCAAACAUUUAGAAGAUAAUUAAGAGGACCUCAAGCUGCCUUAGCAGAGCGCAUCUCCUGAAGUGCAGAUAAAAUCAAUAUCAAGGCUCAGACAGACAUGGAGAUAAAAGUCCCAUGAAAGAAGACCUAGAGUUUUCAUUGAGUAGGACUCAGCACAAGAGCUGGCCCAGCUGCCUCAUCAUGGUUUGAACCUUUGUUUUCUUAUCUGUAAGAUAACACCUACGGUGCCAGGUUGAGUUUUUGGCAAGCAGAAAGUUAAUUUGCAGAAUUAUUAGAGAAAGCUCUUGGUGUCAACACCUAUGAAAACAAAGGAGGGAAAAUCACAAUGGCAUAGGGAAAAAUCAAGGCCAAGUUUGUCCUGCAUUGAUCUGAAAUGCUGGACCUUUAUACCCCUGCCUCCAUUAAUCAUUGGAUGAGGAUCACCUAGGAAGGAUGUGGGAGAUGUGAUCCUUGAAGGGGCUGUCUGUCGAAGGAUGCUUGCUGAUAGCUCUCCCACUAGUAGAAACAAAAAGUCAUUCCUUGAGGGGAUCUUGGUAACAUUUUCUGUGUGUUUCUUACCUGUUAAACCUGGUUUUGUGAGAGAAAUUAACUGUAAAACUUACUGUAAAUGUUAAUUUUAUAAUUCAUACCAUGAUCAAAUAUUUAUUAAGGGUCUAUUCUGUAAUAGCUCCUUGAUAUAAAUAAAAAUAUUAAACCCGACUUUUUUCUUUUUUCUUUGCUGUUGGCUGAGUCUUGCUCUGUCAUCCAGGUUAGAGUGCAGUGGUAUGAUCUUGGCCCACUGUAGCCUCCACCUCCUGGAUUCAAGUGAUUCUCCUGCCUCAGUCUCCUGAGUACCUGGGACUACAGUGAACCUUCUCCAUCUUCUCUUUUGCCAUCUAUUGGCUGGAAGUGAAAGAUUCCCAGGCCCGAGAAGAUGGUGUGGCUAUGGAAUGGGAGGAGCCUGGGAACAUGAAUCACUCCCUAGAAGACUAUCCUAAUAAUACCUACAAUGAAUUAUUGUAUGAACAGGACAUAUUUUUAUGGCAUUAAACCACUGAAACUUUCUGAAUUGUUUAUUAGAGUAGCCAUUAUUAUAUCAAGAGAGUGUAUCUUCAAAUUUUAAGUAAAUUUUAACAAAUAAAUAAAAGGACCUUUACCUCUUUAAACCAUGCCUUAUUGAAAAUCCUCAAAAUCAAGUGUUCUUGAUAAAAGUUAUGCUAAUAUGCACAGUUUUGGUAUAAUUUACACUUUACUUAUUUGGUAGGUGCUUAUCUUAGUUAUGAUUUUCUCAUGUGAAGAAUCUGUAUGCUUCAACUGUGGGAAUAUUAGAAUGAAAUGUUCAGAUGUCUCUUCACUGUGAACCUUUCUUCCUUUUUUAGAAUUGUGAAAUAUGCAGGCUAAUGGCCCUGAAAAAGGCACCUUUGAAAUAGACUAAAGAUGAUGAUUGGAUUAUCAAGAUUUGAAUAAUAUUUUCUAAUGUGCUUUUAAACUCCUUAGUGGAAAAACCUGAAUGGGGAACAAAAUUGUUCCUGGCCUGGCUAGUAGUGCAGGGGCCCCUUUGAAAUGUCAUUAAUCCUUUCAAACAUGAGGAUCUGUUUAUCCAGUAAUCUAUUUUUAGGGCCAAUACAUUUUAUUUCUCACAUCAUAAAAUAAUAGAUGCUUAGUAAAAUCACAAGAAAAAGUUUUAAAGUAUAAUAAAAACAAAAACAUACUUUUGUCUGAUAAAUCAGAGAUGCCAUUUACAUUUAUAUUUUGCUGGGUCUUUUUCUCUGUAUUAAAGUAUGUUUACUUUUCUGGCUGGUUUUAAUUCUGUUUAUUUUAUAUUUUAAUAAUCUCAUGUAUAUAUUAUAAUAAUGCAAACAAUAAAGAAGUACAUGUAAUACAAAGAAAAAGUCUCUCUUUACUUUGCCCAGCACCACUAACCUGUACAGAGUAAAGCCUUUUUCUUAUUUAAAGUGUGACCUUACAGAUAUGUCCUUUUGCAUUGAGGCAUUUAUAUAUAUUUUUCUGUGUAGAUAAUUUCAAAUGUAAUGUAUAUAUGAUAUAUAGAUAGGAUAUAUAAACAGAUGUGUAUGUGUAGGUGUAUAUGUCCAUAUAUAUGAUAUACACAGAUAUAUGUUAUGUUUUUAUACUUAACAUUAUAUUUAGAGGGCUUUCCUGUGUAAUGAAACACAUU
This is a non-coding RNA of Callithrix jacchus (white-tufted-ear marmoset), 10114 nucleotides long. NCBI's taxonomy places the organism in Eukaryota, Metazoa, Chordata, Mammalia, Primates, Cebidae. The record is from RefSeq and is a predicted model, not a curated record.